AGGGCACCACCAGGAGUGGAGCCUGCGGCUUAAUUUGACUCAACGCGGGAAAACUCACCCGGCCCGGACACCGUAAGGAUUGACAGAUUGAGAGCUCUUUCUUGAUUCGGUGGUUGGUGGUGCAUGGCCGUUCUUAGUUGGUGGAGCGAUUUGUCUGGUUUAUUCCGAUAACGAACGAGACUCUGGCCUACUAAAUAGAGACAGGAUUAUUACUGUCCUGGAUUCUUCUUAGAGGGACAAGUGGUUUUCAGCCACACGAAAUUGAGCAAUAACUGGUCUGUGAUGCCCUUAGAUGUCCGGGGCUGCACGCGCGCUACACUGAAGGAAUCAGCGUGCUAAAACCAUUGUCGAAAGGCAUUGGUAAACCCCUCAAAAUCCUACGUGAUUGGGAUCGGGAAUUGCAAUUAUUUCCCUUGAACGAGGAAUUCCCAGUAAGUGUGGGUCAUAAGCUCGCGUUGAUUACGUCCCUGCCCUUUGUACACACCGCCCGUCGCUGCCCGGGACUGAGCCGUUUCGAGA
This 519-nucleotide ribosomal RNA is filed under the name uncultured eukaryote. RNAcentral's name for it is "SSU rRNA". It matches the Rfam family "Eukaryotic small subunit ribosomal RNA", at positions 1161 to 1704 of the family's 1831-position model. The record is from RNAcentral.